RNAcentral lists this ribosomal RNA (253 nucleotides) under uncultured bacterium. Its description in RNAcentral is "partial 16S ribosomal RNA". It matches the Rfam family "Bacterial small subunit ribosomal RNA", at positions 524 to 776 of the family's 1533-position model. The record is from RNAcentral.
UACAGAGGGGGCAAGCGUUAUUCGGAAUUAUUGGGCGUAAAGGGCGCGUAGGCGGCUUGGCAAGUGGAUGGUGAAAUCCCUCGGCUUAACCGAGGAACUGCCGUCCAAACUGCUUAGCUUGAGACCGGGAGAGGUGAGUGGAAUUCCCAGUGUAGCGGUGAAAUGCGUAGAUAUUGGGGGGAACACCAGUGGCGAAGGCGGCUCACUGGACCGGUACUGACGCUGAGGCACGAAGGCCAGGGGAGCAAACGGG